This 776-nucleotide ribosomal RNA is filed under the name Lactobacillus helveticus. RNAcentral describes it as "bacterial SSU rRNA". It matches the Rfam family "Bacterial small subunit ribosomal RNA", at positions 57 to 804 of the family's 1533-position model. The record is from RNAcentral. Lineage: Bacteria; Bacillati; Bacillota; Bacilli; Lactobacillales; Lactobacillaceae.
GCGAGCAGAACCAGCAGAUUUACUUCGGUAAUGACGCUGGGGACGCGAGCGGCGGAUGGGUGAGUAACACGUGGGGAACCUGCCCCAUAGUCUGGGAUACCACUUGGAAACAGGUGCUAAUACCGGAUAAGAAAGCAGAUCGCAUGAUCAGCUUAUAAAAGGGGGCCUAAGCUGUCCCUUUGGGAUGGCCCCCCCGGGCAUUAACUAGUUGGGAAGGGAACGGCUUACCCAGGGAAUGAUGCAUAACCCAAUUGAAAAACUGAUCGGCCCCAUUGGGACUGAAACCCGGCCCAAACUCCUACGGGAGGGAACAGUAAGGAAUCUUCCACAAUGGACGCCAGUCUGAAGGAACAACCCCCCGUGAGUGAAAAAGGGUUUCGGAACCUAAAGCUCUGUUGGUGGUGAAAAAGGAUAAAGGCAGUAACUGGCCUUUAUUUGACGGGUAUCCACCAGAAAGUCACGGCUAACUACCUGCCCGCCGCCGCGGUAAUACCUAAGUGGCAAGCGGUGUCCGGAUUUAUUGGGCGUAAAGCGAGCGCAAGCGGAAGAAUAAGUCUGAUGUGAAAGCCCUCGGCUUAACCCAAGAACUGCAUCGGAAACUGUUUUUCUUGAGUGCAGAAGAAGAGAGUGGGACUUCAUGUGUAGCGGUGGAAUGCCUAGAUAUAUGGAAGAACACCAGUGGCCAAAGCGACUUCUCUGGUCUUGCAACUGACUCUGAAGGCUCGAAAGCGUGGGUAACGAACAGGAUUUAGAUAACCCUGGUAAUUCCUGCCGUA